This 506-nucleotide ribosomal RNA is filed under the name uncultured bacterium. RNAcentral describes it as "partial 16S ribosomal RNA". It matches the Rfam family "Bacterial small subunit ribosomal RNA", at positions 29 to 523 of the family's 1533-position model. The record is from RNAcentral.
AGUGAACGCUGGCGGUAGGCCUAACACAUGCAAGUCGAACGGCAGCACAGGAGAGCUUGCUCUCUGGGUGGCGAGUGGCGGACGGGUGAGGAAUACAUCGGAAUCUACUUUUUCGUGGGGGAUAACGUAGGGAAACUUACGCUAAUACCGCAUACGACCUACGGGUGAAAGCAGGGGACCUUCGGGCCUUGCGCGAUUGAAUGAGCCGAUGUCGGAUUAGCUAGUUGGCGGGGUAAAGGCCCGCCAAGGCGACGAUCCGUAGCUGGUCUGAGAGGAUGAUCAGCCACACUGGAACUGAGACACGGUCCAGACUCCUACGGGAGGCAGCAGUGGGGAAUAUUGGACAAUGGGCGCAAGCCUGAUCCAGCCAUACCGCGUGGGUGUAGAAGGCCUUCGGGUUGUAAAGCCCUUUUGUUGGGAAAGAAAUCCAGCUGGCUAAUACCCGGUUGGGAUGACGGUACCCAAAGAAUAAGCAUCGGCUAACUUCGUGCCAGCCGCCGCGGUAA